UACGGGGGGGAGCAAGCGUUGUUCGGAUUUACUGGGCGUAAAGGGCGCGUAGGCGGCCACCGCAAGUCGACUGUGAAAUCUCCGGGCUUAACCCGGAAAGGUCAGCCGAUACUGCGGGGCUAGAGUGCAGAAGGGGCAACUGGAAUUCUCGGUGUAGCGGUGAAAUGCGUAGAUAUCGAGAGGAACACCUGCGGCGAAGGCGGGUUGCUGGGCUGAUACUGACGCUGAGGCGCGAAAGCUAGGGGAGCGAACGGG
RNAcentral lists this ribosomal RNA (255 nucleotides) under uncultured bacterium. RNAcentral describes it as "partial 16S ribosomal RNA". It matches the Rfam family "Bacterial small subunit ribosomal RNA", at positions 524 to 776 of the family's 1533-position model. The record is from RNAcentral.